UUACGAAAGGCUUGAUAAGUAUUAUGUUGUACAGUUUAUAUAUGAUUUCAUGAUGAUGAUGAUGUUAUUGCUUUCGUAUAUUGUUUUUAUGAAUUUCACCGAGGUAAGUGAAUGGUAAAGGUUUUAUUAUUGAUAAAAGGAUUUGUUGUAAAUUAUGCUCCAUUGGUCUUUUUGUGUUUUCUACCCACCUUUACCUCCGUGACGGUGAGAUAUCGUGAUGUCUUUACUGGGCUAGUGUAGUUCAUUCCUUAUUUAAUCAUUUCAGAUCAGGAAGACAUUGUUCUCGAGCCGGUUCCGCAGGAGGACGACGAAGGGGACGCCUAAAGACUCCAUAGUCAUAU
This 341-nucleotide long non-coding RNA is filed under the name Carica papaya (papaya). Its description in RNAcentral is "long non-coding RNA (CPAP_LNC007686)". The record is from RNAcentral. Lineage: Eukaryota; Viridiplantae; Streptophyta; Magnoliopsida; Brassicales; Caricaceae.